UACAGAGCGUGCAAGCGUUGUUCGGAAUUAUUGGGCGUAAAGCGCGUGUAGGCGGCAUGGCAAGUCGGGUGUGAAAGCCCUCAGCUCAACUGAGGAAGUGCGCCCGAAACUGCUUUGCUUGAGUGCUGGAGAGGGUCGCGGAAUUCCCCAAGUAGAGGUGAAAUUCGUAGAUAUGGGAGGAACACCGGUGGCGAAGGCGGCGGACCUGGACAGUAACUGACGCUGAGACGCGAAAGCGUGGGUAGCAAACAGG
RNAcentral lists this ribosomal RNA (253 nucleotides) under uncultured bacterium. Its description in RNAcentral is "partial 16S ribosomal RNA". It matches the Rfam family "Bacterial small subunit ribosomal RNA", at positions 524 to 776 of the family's 1533-position model. The record is from RNAcentral.